This 874-nucleotide ribosomal RNA is filed under the name Acinetobacter indicus. RNAcentral's name for it is "bacterial SSU rRNA". It matches the Rfam family "Bacterial small subunit ribosomal RNA", at positions 138 to 1002 of the family's 1533-position model. The record is from RNAcentral. Lineage: Bacteria; Pseudomonadati; Pseudomonadota; Gammaproteobacteria; Moraxellales; Moraxellaceae.
GGGGGACAACAUUCCGAAAGGGAUGCUAAUACCGCAUACGUCCUACGGGAGAAAGCAGGGGAUCUUCGGACCUUGCGCUAAUAGAUGAGCCUAAGUCGGAUUAGCUAGUUGGUGGGGUAAAGGCCUACCAAGGCGACGAUCUGUAGCGGGUCUGAGAGGAUGAUCCGCCACACUGGGACUGAGACACGGCCCAGACUCCUACGGGAGGCAGCAGUGGGGAAUAUUGGACAAUGGGGGGAACCCUGAUCCAGCCCAUGCCGCGUGUGUGAAGAAGGCCUUUUGGUUGUAAAGCACUUUAAGCGAGGAGGAGGCGCUUCUAGGAUAAUACCCUAGAUGCGUGGACGUUACUCGCAGAAUAAGCACCGGCUAACUCUGUGCCAGCAGCCGCGGUAAUACAGAGGGUGCGAGCGUUAAUCGGAUUUACUGGGCGUAAAGCGCGCGUAGGUGGCUAAUUAAGUCAAAUGUGAAAUCCCCGAGCUUAACUUGGGAAUUGCAUUCGAUACUGGUUAGCUAGAGUAUGGGAGAGGAUGGUAGAAUUCCAGGUGUAGCGGUGAAAUGCGUAGAGAUCUGGAGGAAUACCGAUGGCGAAGGCAGCCAUCUGGCCUAAUACUGACACUGAGGUGCGAAAGCAUGGGGAGCAAACAGGAUUAGAUACCCUGGUAGUCCAUGCCGUAAACGAUGUCUACUAGCCGUUGGGGCCUUUGAGGCUUUAGUGGCGCAGCUAACGCGAUAAGUAGACCGCCUGGGGAGUACGGUCGCAAGACUAAAACUCAAAUGAAUUUGACGGGGGCCCGCACCAAGCGGUGGAGCAUGUGGUUUAAUUCGAUGCAACGCGAAGAACCUUACCUGGCCUUGACAUACAGAGAACUUUCCA